This is a non-coding RNA of Hydra vulgaris (swiftwater hydra), 3448 nucleotides long. The record is from RefSeq and is a predicted model, not a curated record. NCBI's taxonomy places the organism in Eukaryota, Metazoa, Cnidaria, Hydrozoa, Anthoathecata, Hydridae.
CACAAAUAAGAAUUUUUGGAGCACUUAGGAACAGUCGCAGUAAAAGGAGGAAACUUAAUUGAAUGAUGAGUAAUAUCAGAAUUAAUUUUUGUAGAUGGCACAAGAGUUGCUUGCCCUUUAGAACAGCACCUAUUAUUGUGUUUGUAGAAAAGAGAAAGAGAAGCAACAUUACAUUUUCAGUACCUAAAACUAUUAAAUUAUUAACUAUUAAACUAUUAAAACUUUUGAGUCCCUCCCUUUGAUGUGCCUGUUCUUAUUUUCCAUUAAUAACCUAUCAUCACCCUUUAAUCUAAACUUUUUUUUUUAUGUUAGCAACAUCUCUCUUCUUUUUUUCAUUUUGUCUGAUCAUUGAAGAUUUUAUUGUAAAUGCUCGUUGUUCUGGAUCAUCUUUAAAAAUUUAAAAAUUGAUAGGAGGUUGGUUUUUUAUGCCUCUAUACCAAAUUUUUUAUAUUUUUUACCUUUUCCUUUUUCUCCUAAUUGUAACCACUUUUCUGAUAAUUUCUGCUGUAGUACUUUUUUUCAAAAUUUAAUUUGUCUUUGCAAUUCAUUUAAAUUUAAUUUUCACUACCUAACAUUUUUUCCAAAUCCUCUUUACACAAAAUUAAACCACCAUCCUUUCCAAUUUUUAUUGUCAAAAACUUUUUCUCUUCGCUUCCUUUUGUUCCUUUAAUUCCUUUUCUAGGUUAUGCUUAUCCAUCUCAUCAAUUUUGUUCUACAAUAUAUUUGCUUUUUUUUCUUCUCUUUAAACUGAAAAUCAUUAAAAAUAGUAGAUGAUGCUAAUACUUUUCACACCGCUGUACAUACAUACAUAUAUACAUAGGUGGUGGUGAUAUAAUGAUUUGGUGUGCAAUUGGGUAUCAUGGUAAAUCAAAAAUUCAUUUUAUUGACGGUAAAAUGAAGGCUAAGGAUUAUCUUUUAAUUGUUCAAGAAUUUUUAAGACCUCAAGCAUCUGUAAUAAGUAGUGAAAAUUUUGCUUUUCAGCAAGAUAAUGCUAGCGUUUAUACAGCUAAGAUAGUAAUAUUUUUUUUACUUUCUUGUAUACCCUUUUCGAUUUUGCCUUGCUUGUAUAACUAGCCUUUCAAUUUCUUUCUGUGAUUUUCCAUCUAACCAAUCAGCUGUUUUGUUGUUGUUAAACAUGACACCAGCUGCAGCUACUGUUGUCAUGUUAGGUUUCAUUUUAAACCUGCAGUCAAAGGAAGCAAAGUCACGUUCAAACACAAUGUUAGUACGAGGGCAGUUUUCAGUUUUUUCAAGAGCAUCAACAUCCAGAUUGAAAUUUUUCCUCCAGACAAUUGAUCUUUUAACUGACACUGGAUCAUAACCAAACAUGAGUAACAGAUAUCCUCAAGACAUUCUUGUGUUAAAGCAUCAGAAAAUAAAUGAUGAAACACUUCAUCUUUAGCAAUUUUGUUGAUGCAUCAGAAGAGCGACUAAAAAAAUAAUUAAACAUUUGAAACCAAAUGGUAUUCAAAGAAUAAAUACGGCCCACUUCAAUAAUAUGAAAAAGAGGUUCUGAAAUAAGUUUAUUAAAAAUUCCUAGAGCUCUAGUUGAAGCGUGCAAAAUGAUGUUGUUAAUGUCUUGCUUAAUUGACUUAUGAAGGAAAUUUGAACCAUUAAAAACAAAUUCUUUAAGAUGAUCUUUAUAAAAAAAGGUUACCCCACCAAGUACAAAUAUAAUGUUAAAUCGAUGAUGCAGAAAUGAAACCAUAUAAUUUUUUAAAAACCUUUUUUAGCUUGUAAGUUUUGAAAGUUCGUAUAAAUUUCAAAGGUGCACGAGUUUUGGGAAUUUGUAAAACCACCAAAAAUACCACCUUCCUGCUAAACCACUUUUUCCCAUUCUAUGAUUGCUUUUUCAGUGUAUACCCCUAAAUUGUGGACAACAUGUAAACCACAAAAAAUAUGAUACAUAUGUGAAAUUUCUAAUUAUUCAUUUAAAGGAAGUCUAUCAUAGUUUUCUACAAUGAAAUGCAAAAUUGCUUCUCUCUAAUGUUUAAAUUGGUUAAAAUAACUUAAAUUAACAACAGUGCAAUUUGUCAUCAAAGAUUUGAAAGAAAAAAUGAGCUUUCUAAGAUCAUCUUCGUAGUUGUCCUAUUCAGGAGAAAGUAAAUGAGCCAUAUCAGUGAGUAAGUAUUUUAGCUCAGCAAAAUAAGAUUGUUCCUCGUGUAGCUACCAGAUGAUGCUGUGACUUGAAAACUACCAACCUCAUUAAAAUUGUACUUAGUACCAUCAGUAUGAAGAACAUUGUUUGUACUAUUCAACAUAGCCUCUCUAACUUGAGCUUUUGAUAAAAGGUUCAUUUCACUAAAAAAUUCAACAGCAAACGUUUUUUUUUUUUUUGGAAAAGCGCCACAUGAAAUUAUUUUUUGUUGUACAGUUGUAAUAACAGAUUCAACAUUAUUGGCUGAAAUAUUUUUAUUUAAGAGCUCAUAAUAUACGGAGCAAACUUCCUUAUUAUAUCUACCUCAAGAUGAAAGAUAUGUAAUUAAUGUUCAAAAACAUAAAUUACAUUUCUUUUAAAUAAAAAUUACUUAUUGCAAUAUUACAUAUUGCAAUAUAACAGACAACUUAAAAUAUUGCAAAUUAAAAAAUUACAAAUUUUAUGAAUCAGGAAAACAAGAUAAAUGAAGCGGAUUCCAAAUAGUUGAUUUUCUAGGGAAUAAACUAGAUGAAUAGAAAUUUUUGGAGCACUUAGGAACAAUAUAAUACUAUAAUAUUUUAUCAAAAAUAUUAACUUUGCAAUGAUUUGUUUAUAAGGUGUCCAUGAGAGGACAGUAUGAAAAGAUAAUCCAAGAUGAUGUAAACAAGAUGAUUGAAAUCCGUAUGUUUUUUAUAUCAUCAUCAAACACCUGUGAGAUAUUUGGGAUGAUUAUUAUUGUUGUUUGGAAACAGUAGAGGGUUGAGGAUAGAAGUUAACAUUGUUAGCAAAGUGGUGACACUAGUGUGAAUUAGCAGCAUUUAGUGCCACAGGUCUGUAUGUUUUGUGAUUGUGAUGUUACUGUUGUGAUGUUUUGUGUUUAUAGACAACUUGGCUUACCUCCUCGCUGGUGUCUAUUGUUAAAAAUGAUUAUUAGGUUGUUUCAAUACUGAAACUCUUUACUUUUAAUCAUCCACUAAAAGUCCAGAUAUAAAAUAAUAUUAACAAAUAGUAGUGUUUCUGCUGUUAUACUUACUAUUGCUGUAAGUACUCAAAAUUUCAGGAAGUUCAUUUACUUUGCAGUUCAAAACAUGAAAAAGGAGCAAUUAAUACAAAUGUCAAGAGGUCCAUAAAACGAUGGCUAAUGCAAUCUCCUGGCAGAAAUGGUGGUCGUGCAAAACGUGCCUUAAAAGCAGUAUUGGAUUACAGAGUAUUACAGAGCAUUGUAUUACAGAGUAUUACAGAGUAUUGAAUUUUGUAGUUUAUACUCAUUUUUACAGUUUAUUUUAUAUUUUAAUUCAUUUGUUUACUUUA